UUUUUUUUUUCCUUCAGCUAAGACAGGAGAUGAUUUAUUGUGCACGUUACAUUCAGCCACAACUGAGAACAGAACCAGUCCAGAGUGUCAGGGGUCCGGGGCAAAGAUCCAAGAGAGACUUUUUGGAAGAGCAGGGUGGGACUCUCAAAAGGCGGCCGCGGUGUUCAGGUGGCCCGUAUGCAUGUUCCAGAUCCCACGGAGAUGAUGUUGGAGUCAGCAGGGAGGA
Molecule: long non-coding RNA, 226 nt
Organism: Pipistrellus kuhlii (Kuhl's pipistrelle)
Lineage: Eukaryota; Metazoa; Chordata; Mammalia; Chiroptera; Vespertilionidae
Exons: 3
Source: RefSeq, a predicted model, not a curated record